AACGAACGCUGGCGGCAUGCCUAACACAUGCAAGUCGAACGAGACCUUCGGGUCUAGUGGCGCACGGGUGCGUAACGCGUGGGAACCUGCCCUUAGGUUCGGAAUAACUCCCCGAAAGGGGUGCUAAUACCGGAUAAUGUCUUCGGACCAAAGAUUUAUCGCCUUUGGAUGGGCCCGCGUUGGAUUAGCUAGUUGGUAGGGUAAAAGCCUACCAAGGCGACGAUCCAUAGCUGGUCAGAGAGGAUGAUCAGCCACACUGGGACUGAGACACGGCCCAGACUCCUACGGGAGGCAGCAGUGGGGAAUAUUGGACAAUGGGCGAAAGCCUGAUCCAGCAAUGCCGCGUGAGUGAUGAAGGCCUUAGGGUUGUAAAGCUCUUUUACCCGGGAUGAAAAUGACAGUACCGGGAGAAUAAGCUCCGGCUAACUCCGUG
Molecule: ribosomal RNA, 433 nt
Filed under: uncultured bacterium
Lineage: Bacteria
Description: partial 16S ribosomal RNA
Rfam family: Bacterial small subunit ribosomal RNA
Source: RNAcentral